This is an RNA transcript of Mus musculus (house mouse), 4940 nucleotides long. It is a transcript of the gene named centrosomal protein 83, with no coding region annotated. The transcript has 16 exons. The record is from RefSeq and is marked validated. NCBI's taxonomy places the organism in Eukaryota, Metazoa, Chordata, Mammalia, Rodentia, Muridae.
GGGGAGGCGGGACUUCCUGCCUCGCGCCUCGCCGGGGCUCGGGACGCGCGCGGUCCGCUCGGGAGUGGCGGACGGCGGGCUGAGGGGGCGGCGUGUCGGCCGAGGAGGGCGGGCCGCGGAGGAGGAGCCGGCCUUGCAGCCGCCGCCCUCUCAGCCCUCCGAGUUUCCCGGGCUACCUCAACCUUUCCCGAGGCGUGGGUGCCCUCGCGGACCGUCCGGCUCCUCGGUUCGCCUCCAGCCCCGCGGCGGCAGCGGCCGCUUGGACCGCUCCGGGCCCCACACCCCAGCCGGUGGGACCGUCCCGAGCCCUCGGCCCCAAUGCCUGGGAGAGCAGAGCGGAGUGGGUGGCGGUGGUUGGAGCUGUGCCGGGGGCUCCCGGUGGCGAGCGCGGCUGCUGUGCUGGGGCGAGCAGCGGGGACCGUGUGUGAGUUUGGCAUGAUUUGGUCCCCUGGGAUUCUGCCUUAGCAAGAAAGAAGUUGGAAAUACUUCCUGGAAGAAAACUAAAACAAUACAAAAGCCACAGCUUAUUGAUUGCAUGUCAGCCCCCUUACAAAUAUGGACACAUUUCCUAGCCUAUUUCCACCUGGAGGAGAUAGUAGGCUGAAUCCUGAGCCUGAGUUCCAAAAUAUGUUAAUUGAUGAAAGGGUACGCUGUGAACAUCAUAAACAUAAUUAUCAGGCUCUGAAAAUUGAACACAAAAGGUUGCAGGAAGAAUAUGUAAAAUCACAAAAUGAACUUAAACGUGUAUUAAUUGAAAAGCAAGCAAGCCAGGAAAAAUUCCAACUGCUCCUUGAAGACUUAAGGGGAGAAUUAGUAGAGAAAGCUAGAGACAUAGAAAAAAUGAAACUGCAGGUACUAACACCACAAAAAUUGGAAUUGGUAAAAGCCCAACUACAACAAGAAUUAGAAGCUCCAAUGCGAGAACGUUUUCGGACUCUUGAUGAAGAAGUGGAAAGGUACAGAGCUGAGUAUAACAAGCUGCGCUACGAGUAUACAUUUCUCAAGUCAGAGUUUGAACACCAGAAAGAAGAGUUUACUCGGGUUUCAGAAGAAGAGAAAAUGAAAUACAAGUCAGAGGUUGCACGACUGGAGAAGGACAAAGAGGAGCUACAUAACCAGCUGCUUAGUGUUGAUCCCACGAGAGACAGCAAACGAAUGGAGCAACUUGUUCGAGAAAAAACCCAUUUGCUUCAGAAAUUGAAAAGUUUAGAGGCUGAAGUAGCAGAAUUAAGGGCUGAGAAAGAAAAUUCUGGUGCUCAGGUAGAAAAUGUCCAAAGAAUACAGGUGAGGCAGUUGGCUGAGAUGCAGGCUACACUCAGAUCCUUGGAGGCUGAAAAGCAGUCAGCUAAACUACAAGCUGAGCGUUUAGAAAAAGAACUACAAUCAAGCAAUGAACAGAAUACCUGCUUAAUCAGCAAACUGCAUAGAGCUGACCGAGAAAUCAGCACACUGGCCAGUGAAGUGAAAGAGCUUAAACAUGCAAACAAACUAGAAAUAACUGACAUCAAACUGGAGGCAGCAAGAGCUAAGAGUGAGCUCGAAAGAGAAAGGAAUAAGAUCCAAAGUGAACUUGAUGGAUUGCAGUCAGACAAUGAAAUUCUCAAGUCAACUGUUGAACACCACAAAGCGCUCUUAGUGGAAAAAGAUCGUGAAUUAAUACGUAAAGUACAAGCUGCCAAGGAAGAAGGUUACCAGAAACUCAUGGUCUUACAAGAUGAAAAGCUAGAACUUGAGAACAGAUUAUCAGACUUAGAGAAGAUGAAGGUGGAGCGUGAUGUCUGGAGGCAGUCGGAAAAGGAGCAGUGUGAGGAGAAGCUGCGGGCCUCCCAGAUGGCAGAGGAGGCAGCCCGCAGGGAGCUGCAGAGCACUAGGUUAAAACUUCAACAACAAAUUGUGAAUACCGAAAAAGCAGAAAAAGAAAAACUUGAAAAUUCUGAACUGAAACAGAUUAUGAGUAGUGAGGAUUCCACUUAGAAUUUUCCCCAUCUGCUGACACUGCCUUGCACAUGCACUUUGAGGACCUGAAUUGAGAGAGAAUAAUGCUUGCAUGUCAGCUGAAACUGCUUUGUGUGUGCACUUAUGGAGCCUCAAGUGGCAGGGCACAGUACUCAGACACUGUGGUUUCGGCUGUCCUAUGGAUCUAGAGUUAAGUUUCUGAAGGUUGCUUAGUUACAAAGCCGUAGUAAAGAGUUAAUACUUUCCACUCCUUUGUUGUUUUUUUUUUAAAGUAAGUUCUAUAUGAAGAAAUUUAUUAUAAAAUAGAAAUCGGAGACAUACAAUGUUACUGCAUUCUAGUAAUUGCACCAUGGACAUGUAUAGUCUGAUCUUACAUGGCUUUUAUACUGUUAGCCUGUUAUACUGUUAGGGGUUGUUUCCCACUUAGCUAAUUUAUUCUACCAAGAAUCUUGCUAGAAUCUUGCUUGUGUUAGCUGUGCUGGUACUUGCCUGUAAUCCUAGCACUUGGGAGGCUGAAGCAGGAAGAUCAUGAGUUUGUGGACUGCCUGGGCUGUGUAGCAGAGCCUUUUUCUUUUGACUCUUAAAUCUUACCAUGAUGUUUUGGUUUUGGUGAUGGCAGAGACCAAAUUCAGGCCUGUGUGCAUGAUAAUUAGACAGCUAUGCUGAGCUGCAUCGUAGGCUUACAGUGGGUUCUUUACAUUGAUGUCUCCUGAUUCUUUCAACUCUGAAAGGCCUCUUAGAGAAACUGAAGUGAAAGUGAAGACUUUUGUUUAUUAGCUUAGACAUGGCGUAUGAAGGAUGUAGAUCCAUAGUUGUCCCCAGUGAGCUCUAUUCAGUCACAAGUUUAAAAAGUGUAAGUCUUUCUAGCCAGUUGGUCCAUAACUCCAAUUAUCAUAAGAAAAGGUGCUUCCAUAUAAAGGUAAAUUUCGGGUGAAUCAAGCCUGUGACUUUGAUACCUGUGCUGAUAAAUGGCUCUAGAUCGUUGGUUCUCAACCUUCCCAAUGCUGCCACCCUUUAAUACAGUUCCUCAUGUGGUGACCCCAGCCAUAAAAUUGUGCUAUUACUUCAUAACUGUGAUUUGCUACUGUUAUGAAUUGUAAUAUAAAUAUCUGAUAUGCAGGAUAUCUGAUAUGUAACCCUUGUGAAGGGCUCAUUUGACCCCCAAAGGGGUUGUGCCCACAGGUUGAGAACCACUGCUCUAGAGGCUAUGGAAUCCAUAGUAUAUUUAUUAGAUUUCUCAAAGCACCUUUCUCCUUCUCAGUACUGGGGCAUACAGAAAGCUGGGAAACCUUUGAAGAACAGGAUUAUAGUGACUCUUCUCAUAUUCAUGCCCGACAAUUUCUGAAUUCUCUGAGAGUAGCCUUUCUGGUAGAGUAGCUAAUCUAAUGUGUGCUUCGGGAAAACAAUGCUCUCUCAACUGUUUUUUCUGCUGGCUUGCUUUUAAAAUCUCUUCUGGUAGAGAAGGGAAAGGCUUUGUAAUAGGAGACUAUCUGCCAAUGUUUUCUUCUUCCCAAAGCACCUACUCCCCAAACCUCUUUGCAGUGCUCAUUUGGGGAUGAAAAGAAAGAAAUCAGUAUCUAAGUUCUAUAUGGUAUGAAAUACUGUGGUUAUAGUGAGAAAUGCCCCCAGUCCUUGCUAUUCAUUACUCACUUACAGGGCACCCUGCAUGCCUCACUGGGAGAGACAGUUUCAUGAGGAGAUACUCUGCUCCUCACAUGGCUUGAUGGAUAUCUUAGUGUCUUUCUGUUUUUCCUUUUUCUUUUAAGCAAAUCAGUCAUUUGCAGAUCCAAGUGACCUCACUGACACAGUCGGAGAACGACUUACUGAAUUCAAACCACAUGCUGAAGGACAUGGUGGAGAGACUAAAACAAGAAUGCCGAAAUUUAAGGAGCCAAGCUGAGAAAGCACAACUAGACGUUGAAAAGACACUGGAGGAAAAACAGAUCCAGUGGUUGGAAGAAAAGCACAAGCUCCAUGAGCGAAUCACAGACAGAGAAGAAAAGUAUAACCAAGCCAAGGAAAAGCUACAGCGCGCAGCGACUGCUCAGAAAAAGAGAAAAUCUCUUCAUGAGAACAAAUUGAAGAGACUACAGGAGAAAGUAGAAGUCUUGGAGGCAAAGAAAGAAGAACUAGAAACAGAAAACCAGGUGCUAAAUAGACAAAAUGUUCCAUUUGAAGAAUAUACAAGGCUUCAAAAACGACUAAAGGACAUACAGAGAAGACAUAAUGAAUUUCGAAGUCUAAUUUUGGUUCCUAACAUGCCUCCAACAGCAUCGAUUAGUCCUGCUAACUUCCAGUCCGCAGUGACAGUUCCUGGAGCGGAACUCUCUUUUCCCCCUCAUCUGCAGGAGGAACAACAUCAAAGAGAGCUCUCUCUCCUUCGCAAAAGACUGGAAGAACUGGAGACUACACAAAGAAAACAACUGGAGGAGCUUGGGUCUCCUGGGGAGUGAAGCCUGAAGACAGGCAAAGCCAGAGACUCAAUAAAAGUCUGACGGGUAACGUGUGGCACUGAGACGCCUUCUUCCUGUUUGCCAAAAUCCAUGAGCUGCCUCAAGAAAAGGUACUAGCAGCGCACUGCAUGGGCUCCAAGAUUUUAGGAUUAUACUAAGAAAAUGAAAGUAUUCAUAUAUUUAGAACAUGCAUUGACAAUCUUUUGACAAUGCAAAAAUAAAAGGAACUAGUUAGUUAAAAAAAUCAAGUUUUCAAAUUAAUUUCUGUUUUGUUGAUAUUUUCUGGCAUUUUGCUUGAAAUAUAUCCACCCUGAAGUCCCUUUUCCUCAUCUUUGAGAUGCCUCCUUGGUAAUGACAAAACCAAUAAACAUCUCCUUUAUUAUAUAUAAAAGUUUUGGAAAAGAUAAUCAUUUAUAAGUAUAAAAACCACUUAAAAGUUUCUAAACAUGUUUAUUAUAGAAAUCUUUACCUUUUCUAAAAGCUGUGCACUUAAUUUAUUGAAUAACUUAAUAAAUAUUUUUGUAUCUCUGC